CGUCCGCGAACUCCCGUCACCUCGCUGUCACUCCGCACGGGGACUUCACGUGCGCCGAGGCCGCCUCGGAGGCGGGGUCUGGUUGGGUCGCCUUUUCGAGGGCGCAGGUUGGUGGCUUGUGGGAAGCCACGACACAGUUUUAAUUGUUGGAGCCAACUACUGAGCGGCGUCUCUUUUUCACCCGGGCGCCGUCGCGCCUGUCCGGAAGCCUGGAGCGUGGGCGCGCGGACAAAGCUACCACCCAAAAGUUUUGGCGACUGGCUGGAGUCUUCCUGGCGCAGAAUGAGUGCACGGAGCCCUCGCCGGGGCUGUUUGGCAUCCGGAAUCUACUUGCUGUCUUCGGUGGCACCGAGCAGCCGCUUCCCGGGCGGUUUUGGUCACGGCUGCUCUUGCAGAGUUUUCUUUCAGGGGAAAACACUUCUUUCCCACAUCAGAUGUUUCUUGAAGUAUGGAGUGGGUGCCACUACCAUAACUCUCAAUACUCUAUUCCAGUGCUCCUAGCAAGUUUCCUGAUGUGCAUUCUGGGAACAAAAUCUACACUUUACCAGUGACUCCAGGAGAUCCCACAAAAGAGGUGAACAUUGUAUUGGAGAAGUGACCUUAUGAAGGUGGGAGCAGAAAGUGGGAGCAGGACUGCCCUGACUGCUGACUUCUUAUCCAAGGAGGAUAAUCAUCUCCCAAGUUGAUCUCAGUGGUUUUAGGUGUACAAUAUAGUGAUUCAGCAAUUGUAUAUAUUACUCAAUGAUCAUGAUGGUAAGUGUACUCUUAAUCCCCUUCACCUAUUUCACCCAUCACCCCACCACCUCCCCUCUGGCAACCACCAGUUGGUUCUCUAUGUUUAAGAGUUUGUUUUGGGGGUGCCUGGGUGGCUCAGUCGUUAAGCGUCUGCCUUCGGCUCAGGUCAUGAUCCCAGGGUCCUGGGAUCGAGUCCCGCAUCGGGCUCCCUGCUCAGCGGGAAGCCUGCUUCUCCCUCUCCCACUCCCCUUGCUUGUGUUCCCUCUCUCGGUGUCUCUCUCUCUGCCAAAUAAAUAAAUAAAAUCUUUAAAAAAAAAAAAAAGUGUUUGUUUUGUUUUCCUCUUUUUUUUCUUUGUUCAUUUGUUUUGAUUCUUAAAUUCCACAUAUGUGUGAAAUCACAUGGUAUUUGUCUUGUUCUGACUGAUUUAUUUCACUUAGCAUUAUAUCCUCUUCAUCUAUCCAUGCUGUUGCAAAUGGCAAGAAAACAAAAGUUAAAGGAAUUCAUCACCACUGAACCAAUCUUACAAGAAAUGUUAAAGGGGAUUUUUUGAGUGGAAAGGAAAGACCAUAAGCAGGACUAAGAAAAGUGGGAAAGGGAAAAAUUUCACAGGUACAUAUAAACAUAAUAAAAGUAGUAGAUUAAUC
Molecule: long non-coding RNA, 1380 nt
Organism: Mirounga angustirostris (Northern elephant seal)
Lineage: Eukaryota; Metazoa; Chordata; Mammalia; Carnivora; Phocidae
Exons: 4
Source: RefSeq, a predicted model, not a curated record